CAUCUGUCUGUGUUUCUCGUCCUAUUGGUUUUAGGACACGAGACAUUCUUGUCUUUCGAGAGCAUGACAGCAAAGGGGUGUUACUAAAGAGUUAUACCAAAACACGGGUGUAGCCCACAGCAAAAAAGGACAUGGCUAUUCAGUCAAGGCAUCUCAUGUUGGAAGAAAAAAACGUUGCAGCUGCUUAAGACAACUUCUUUUGGACUUUGAGUUUUUCAUGUAUAGAGGGAUUCCUGAAGAUAUCGUCUUGGCUACUGCUGACAAGGACAGACGAGCACAAAUGGCAGAAAGGUUUAUCAAUGAAACAGGAAGUGAUGGCCGAUCAGUUCUUGGGAUGUUGGAGGUGCAGGUGGAAAAAGACCCAAAGACUGGUGCCACCACCGUCAGGUCUCUGUCCCCCAUAUCUACGUCAGCUGCUGCUGCGAAGGCUGCUCCGAUCUUUGACGACGGUAGAAAGAGCAUCCGAGCUGUCGGCGUGGCAGCAGAAGAACCGACCACUGAAGAGCUCGGUCAGAUUUUGAACCUGAUUGACGGGGUUGGUAUGAAAAUGUUGUUGAAUGAAAUACCAGUCCCAUCAAAGAAGGUGGAGAAGGAGAAUGAGAGUGCAAACAGCAGUCACCCCCCACAGGCAAAAAGCGUACAAUUUGAUACCCAUCACAACAAGGCAAAGAAAGACAACGACAGAUCUAGAAGCAACUAUGGCAAGUUGAAUGUAGAGAAAAGUGCUGUAGGUGUUGGGAAUGGGAAUGACAGAAUUGUGAUUGGAGACCUUGCAGAGGAAGUAGAUCACAUUGAAGAUGAAAAGCUGAAAGAAGGUCCAAUAACGCUGAUGUUCUUGGGUUACGCUGAUGGCUUAAGCAAUGAGCAUCAGGACGACGACGAGCAACAAGGUGUGAUUGCAGUGGAGCGAGUGCUUAUCACAGAUGACGGGGAGGAGCUUGUCUUAGGACCACAAGAAACUGGUUCACUCCAGCCACCAUCAGACAAAGUCACUGAAAAGGAAGGAGGAAGAGGCGAAGUGUCUCAAGACGUUCCACUGAAUGGAAAUGAAACAGAAGGAAAUGUCCAGAGUGAAGAAGGUGAUAAACAGCAGCAGAGUUCAUCUUCUCAUAGACCAAUAGAUGGAAAGAACUCAGCCAAGAACAAGAAGUGUCACUGCUGCUCAGUCAUGUAGGAAAUCACUGACUCUUUCAGUCAUAUUUUUUAGCUGCAAUGCUGCUUUAAGACCGAUUUUUGUUUUUUAAACUGUUGUAUUCAUUGUGGCAACAAAUACAGAUGCAUUUACUGUAGAUGUUGUAGUCUUUUGUAUGCACUAGCGCAACCAAGUGGUAGCAAAACUCUUGUAAAUAUGUACAUUUGCACCCCCUUCUGGACAAGAUGAAGAAUUUAACAUGGUCUGUCAUUACUCAAGUGUUAUAAAGGAAGUUGGGGAAAAAAAUACAGAAAAAGAACCCAAUAAUCUCCAGAAAAACAUUUUAAGACUAUAAUAAAUAAAUUGAGUUUUUGGGAUCA
Molecule: long non-coding RNA, 1512 nt
Filed under: Gouania willdenowi (blunt-snouted clingfish)
Lineage: Eukaryota; Metazoa; Chordata; Actinopteri; Blenniiformes; Gobiesocidae
Description: lncRNA (ENSGWIG00000024265.1)
Source: RNAcentral